GUGAGGAAGUGGAACUUGUUACCCAAGGACUUCCCUUUUAGAAUGUUUGCUUUCCUACCAGGAAGAGUGGCUUGGCUCUCUGCUGAGGCUCUCAGAGGUUCUCCCAGCCUUGGGAACGCUGAUUAAAACCAGUCAGCACAACGUCCCCCUGUGGAGACUGAGGUCAGAGUCUGCUCCCUUAAAUUCUACUGGGGCCUUUUUCAGGCCUCCAUCCCUGGGAUUUGCCGGUAGAAGAAAGGGAACCAGCGUUGACUGAGCUCCUACUAUGUGCACUUCCUGGGCCUGGCACUGGGAUCACAGGAUGAAUGAAUAAGGCAUAUUUCCUGCCCUGUGGAGGUGUCCAUAGGGGAAGUCGGAAUUAAGCCACCUCCAGAAUUCUGAGGUCAAGGGAACGUCAACAGAACUGUGAACAAAAUGCCCAAAGCCAUGAAAAUCAACAGAGACUUGAAGGGGAGGAAUGGGGUAGGAGCUUGUGCUGAGGAUGAGAAGGGAGAAUUCGCCUGGUGGAAAACUGAUAGCUAGGGGCUGUUUUCAAAGUAUUUUCACAAACGUUUAUUCUCUUGACUCUCACAAUAAAUGAAGCCAGCCAGAAAGUAUUCCCCCUAUUUCAGUGAUAAGGAAAUUGAGGCUCAGAAGGGUGGAGUGGCCCAGGGCAGGGCGAAGCUCGGGUGGAAGCAUUGGUCUUGUGCUUCCACACUCAUUGCACUUUCUUCCAGGCCAGGCUGAGGUCAGGAUGGUAGAGGAGGUGGUGGAGGUGAUGAGGUACCAGAGCAACCUCGAAGAAAGGUGAGAAGCAGGGGACCACCAAAGGCAAACCUGGAACACCUGGUGACUCCGGCUAACUCUCCAUGUGGUGUCCAAGAGGACUUUUCUGAUACUGCUACCACUGCUAAUAGUAAUAAAAGUUACUAUUUAAUGUGUUUACUAUGUGUUGGGUGCGCAAAUAUUGUGGAAAGAGUGAACAUAUGUGCAGAAUGCUUAAUAAACGUGAUCUCUUUUUAUCUUCAAAA
This is a long non-coding RNA of Cercocebus atys (sooty mangabey), 1010 nucleotides long. RefSeq lists it as uncharacterized. The transcript is spliced from 2 exons. Lineage: Eukaryota; Metazoa; Chordata; Mammalia; Primates; Cercopithecidae. The record is from RefSeq and is a predicted model, not a curated record.